Molecule: long non-coding RNA, 1476 nt
Filed under: Olea europaea subsp. europaea
Lineage: Eukaryota; Viridiplantae; Streptophyta; Magnoliopsida; Lamiales; Oleaceae
Source: RNAcentral
UAAAGAUUGAGAUAAAUGUCUUAUAUUCCAUAUAUUUACUCUAACAAGAAAGACCUAAAUGCAACAGUAAAUGGAUAACGGGCUAGAUUGCUAAAACUGAGUGGAUGUACAAUACAAACCAGUGACACAAUAUACAACAAACGUUGAAAACUGCACAAUAACAUAGAAGACUUUAAUCACAAGCCUUUCUUGUUAAACGAUUCAGCCAGGAUGUUCACAAAUAAAAACUAGAACAAAUAUAUCGUAAAGGUUCUAGCAACCAUAACAUAUAUUACGACGAAUUCAAUAACAAUCGUUUGUACAAUGACCAAUUUUGACAAGAUUACCCAUACAUCAAAUAAACAGUUCAAGUCAAACCCUUUCCUUUCCUAUCGCACUUCGCAAUGCCCUUUCCGUUGCUAAAACUCAAGUGCAUUGAUAUGUCCACGCCUUAUUUCUCACUACUUCGAGCUAGCCUAUCAAAGAGUCUUGGCAAAUCUUCAUCUUCCACAUUGUACUCAUGAUUCACCUUUUCGUUAACGGAACUUGACUCCCCGCUUAGCACUUCUUUUUUCACCCAAUCGAAAUAUCCACAAUCAUUACUACAGUUGAAAAACAAUUGCCCUCUGUUACUAGUAUCCCAUUCGACCUCAAAACACCUGCUAUAUCUGUGUUUACACGAAGGGUAUCGGCACUUUGUUGGGCAUUGUCCAAAGUAAUGCGUGUUGCUUCUGCAACCGUGACAAACUCCUGAAUUCCUUCCUCUCAUUGUAGUCGAUCCGGGCUGGACAAACAAAUAAACAAAGAUGUAUCCAUCUCAAUUGCAAAAUUCCACAUCAACAACCUAAACCUCAUUAUACAUGUGAAAAACUUCAACAACCUAAGCUUGUUAACAAAUGAAUUGAUUCUAUGUGGAAAUUUGUAACCACAAAAUCAUAUCAUUCAACACUGCCGACACUAAAUAAAAAAAAAAAAAAAAAAAAAAAAAAGGGUAAAUCCAGAAACAAAACUUUAGAAGACGGCUUCGCUGAAAAAAUCAAUAGUUUAGAAGAAGACACUGAAAAAUAUAGCUAAAUUACGAACGAAACUAUUUACAUUCUCAACCUGAUGGAGUGUGGCAGGGGAAGGAUGCGAGUGCAGCGUCGGGGUAUCUUGGUGAAUGCGGCAUCAGAUUUUCUGCUCGUAGGCAGCUUGUUGGCGCCAAUGGUGAAGAAGGUGCUCACAUCGAUGGUGACGGUGAUAGGGAGUACAGGAAGAUUGGUUUGGGGAAGAUAUUUCGUGCGUGAAUUGGGGGAAAAUGGAAGACUUUGGAUUUUGGGAAAUGGAAAUACAAUUUCAAAUUGAUUAUUUUUGUUUUUUUUAAUAUGCCACAUCAUCAUUAUUUGAAACCUUGUACCCCUUCUGUAACAAGUUUCCUAUACCCUAGCGUUUUUGUUAGAGUUAUAGGAGAAGGGAAAGGAGAUAGAAGAAGAGAAAGGGGCGUGGGGAGGGGGUAGA